RNAcentral lists this ribosomal RNA (465 nucleotides) under uncultured bacterium. RNAcentral's name for it is "partial 16S ribosomal RNA". It matches the Rfam family "Bacterial small subunit ribosomal RNA", at positions 28 to 507 of the family's 1533-position model. The record is from RNAcentral.
GAUGAACGCUGGCGGCGUGCUUAACACAUGCAAGUCGAACGAUGAAGCCCAGCUUGCUGGGUGGAUUAGUGGCGAACGGGUGAGUAACACGUGAGUAACCUGCCCUUAACUCUGGGAUAGCCUGGGAAACUGGGUCUAAUACCGGAUAGGAGCGUCCACCGCAUGGUGGGUGUUGGAAAGAUUUAUCGGUUUUGGAUGGACUCGCGGCCUAUCAGCUUGUUGGUGAGGUAAUGGCUCACCAAGGCGACGACGGGUAGCCGGCCUGAGAGGGUGACCGGCCACACUGGGACUGAGACACGGCCCAGACUCCUACGGGAGGCAGCAGUGGGGAAUAUUGCACAAUGGGCGCAAGCCUGAUGCAGCGGCGCCGCGUGAGGGAUGACGGCCUUCGGGUUGUAAACCUCUUUCAGUAGGGAAGAAGCGAAAGUGACGGUACCUGCAGAAGAAGCACCGGCUAACUACGUG